This is a long non-coding RNA of Sphaerodactylus townsendi, 180 nucleotides long. RefSeq lists it as uncharacterized. The transcript has 2 exons. Lineage: Eukaryota; Metazoa; Chordata; Lepidosauria; Squamata; Sphaerodactylidae. The record is from RefSeq and is a predicted model, not a curated record.
AAAGGAUGGGGUUGACGGUGUGGGGGAUGUGCCUGUUGCCUAUGGACUCUCCAUGCCUUUCUUCUGGGAUCCCGGUGGCUCACCUGAAGAAAGGGAUUUACAGGCCUCUCCUUGGCAGAGAAUUUCUAUUUGAUGCACACACAAACCUCCUGGCCUGAAUAAGAAAUUCUAGUUUAUGAA